Molecule: ribosomal RNA, 397 nt
Filed under: uncultured beta proteobacterium
Lineage: Bacteria; Pseudomonadati; Pseudomonadota; Betaproteobacteria
Description: bacterial SSU rRNA
Rfam family: Bacterial small subunit ribosomal RNA
Source: RNAcentral
UACAUCGGAACGUGCCCAGUCGUGGGGGAUAACUACUCGAAAGAGUAGCUAAUACCGCAUACGAUCUGAGGAUGAAAGCGGGGGACCUUCGGGCCUCGCGCGAUUGGAGCGGCCGAUGGCAGAUUAGGUAGUUGGUGGGAUAAAAGCUUACCAAGCCGACGAUCUGUAGCUGGUCUGAGAGGACGACCAGCCACACUGGGACUGAGACACGGCCCAGACUCCUACGGGAGGCAGCAGUGGGGAAUUUUGGACAAUGGGCGAAAGCCUGAUCCAGCAAUGCCGCGUGCAGGAUGAAGGCCUUCGGGUUGUAAACUGCUUUUGUACGGAACGAAAAAGCUCCUUCUAAUACAGGGGGCCCAUGACGGUACCGUAAGAAUAAGCACCGGCUAACUACGUG